RNAcentral lists this ribosomal RNA (440 nucleotides) under uncultured bacterium. RNAcentral's name for it is "partial 16S ribosomal RNA". It matches the Rfam family "Bacterial small subunit ribosomal RNA", at positions 339 to 795 of the family's 1533-position model. The record is from RNAcentral.
CUACGGGAUGCUGCAGUGAGGAAUAUUGCACAAUGGAGGAAACUCUGAUGCAGCAACGCCGCGUGGAGGAUGACGCAUUUCGGUGUGUAAACUCCUUUUAUAUGUCAAGAAAAUGACGGUAGCAUAUGAAUAAGCACCGGCUAACUCCGUGCCAGCAGCCGCGGUAAUACGGAGGGUGCAAGCGUUACUCGGAAUCACUGGGCGUAAAGGACGCGUAGGCGGGUUGGAAAGUCAGGUGUGAAAUCCUACAGCUUAACUGUAGAACUGCACUUGAAACUUCUAAUCUAGAGCAUGGGGAGGGGGAGAUGGAAUUAGUGGUGUAGGGGUAAAAUCCGUAGAUAUCACUAGGAAUACCUAAAGCGAAGGCGAUCUCCUGGAACAUUACUGACGCUAAGGCGUGAAAGCGUGGGGAGCAAACAGGAUUAGAUACCCCGGUAGUC